Molecule: transfer RNA, 104 nt
Filed under: Pseudogymnoascus destructans
Lineage: Eukaryota; Fungi; Ascomycota; Leotiomycetes; Thelebolales; Thelebolaceae
Description: partial tRNA-Leu
Rfam family: tRNA
About the family: Transfer RNA (tRNA) molecules are approximately 80 nucleotides in length. Their secondary structure includes four short double-helical elements and three loops (D, anti-codon, and T loops). Further hydrogen bonds mediate the characteristic L-shaped molecular structure. tRNAs have two regions of fundamental functional importance: the anti-codon, which is responsible for specific mRNA codon recognition, and the 3' end, to which the tRNAs corresponding amino acid is attached (by aminoacyl-tRNA synthetases). tRNAs cope with the degeneracy of the genetic code in two manners: having more than one tRNA (with a specific anti-codon) for a particular amino acid; and 'wobble' base-pairing, i.e. permitting non-standard base-pairing at the 3rd anti-codon position.
Source: RNAcentral
GGGAGUCUGGCCGAGUGGUUAAGGCGCUGUGUUUAGGUCAUCCGCAAGGAAACCUUGAUUCCCGCAGUGGGAAACCGCGCAGGUUCGAAUCCUGCGGCUCUCAA